AUGUUAUCUUGGCAUAUUUUGCAGAAAGGUACCAAGAGGGUGCAAUUUGUCAGGAACUUGAUUAGGGAGGUUGCUGGAUUCGCUCCCUAUGAGAAACGUAUCACUGAGCUUCUUAAGGUUGGAAAGGACAAGCGUGCACUCAAGGUCGCCAAGAGAAAGCUUGGUACUCACAAGAGAGAAAAGAAGAAGAGAGAGGAGAUGUUAAGUGUCCUUACGAAGAUGAGGUGUGUAACCACUCUGACUCACCAUUUAUAUUAUGAACAUUAUUUUUCUGACCAUGUUCAUUAG
RNAcentral lists this ribosomal RNA (288 nucleotides) under Triticum aestivum (bread wheat). RNAcentral's name for it is "partial small subunit ribosomal RNA". The record is from RNAcentral. Lineage: Eukaryota; Viridiplantae; Streptophyta; Magnoliopsida; Poales; Poaceae.